AGAGUUUGAUCCUGGCUCAGGAUGAACGCUAGCGGCAGGCCUAACACAUGCAAGUCGAGGGGUAACAGGAAAGCUUGCUUUUGCUGACGACCGGCGCACGGGUGCGUAACGCGUAUGCAACCUACCUCAUACUGGAGCAUAGCCCUUGGAAACGGGGAUUAAUACUCCAUGGUAUCAUGAAUUCGCAUGUUUUCAUGAUUAAAGAAUUUCGGUAUGAGAUGGGCAUGCGUCCCAUUAGCUAGUUGGUGAGGUAACGGCUCACCAAGGCGACGAUGGGUAGGGGGCCUGAGAGGGUGGUCCCCCACACUGGUACUGAGACACGGACCAGACUCCUACGGGAGGCAGCAGUGAGGAAUAUUGGUCAAUGGAGGCAACUCUGAACCAGCCAUGCCGCGUGAAGGAUGACGGCCCUAUGGGUUGUAAACUUCUUUUAUAUGGGAAGAAACUUAUCUACGUGUAGAUAACUGACGAUACCAUACGAAUAAGGAUCGGCUAACUCCGUGCCAGCAGCCGCGGUAAUACGGAGGAUCCAAGCGUUAUCCGGAUUCAUUGGGUUUAAAGGGUCCGUAGGCGGAUUUUUAAGUCAGUGGUGAAAGCCGACAGCUCAACUGUCGAACUGCCAUUGAUACUGGAAAUCUUGAGUACAAAUGAAGUAGGCGGAAUGAGUCAUGUAGCGGUGAAAUGCAUAGAUAUGAC
RNAcentral lists this ribosomal RNA (696 nucleotides) under uncultured bacterium. RNAcentral's name for it is "bacterial SSU rRNA". It matches the Rfam family "Bacterial small subunit ribosomal RNA", at positions 8 to 700 of the family's 1533-position model. The record is from RNAcentral.